AAGAAAGUAUGCAAGAGCUGCUAACUCAUGCCUCCGAACUUAAACGUGCGGCUUUCUUAC
RNAcentral lists this transfer RNA (60 nucleotides) under Lasiopodomys brandtii (Brandt's vole). RNAcentral's name for it is "tRNA-Ser". Lineage: Eukaryota; Metazoa; Chordata; Mammalia; Rodentia; Cricetidae. The record is from RNAcentral.